Molecule: ribosomal RNA, 253 nt
Filed under: uncultured bacterium
Lineage: Bacteria
Description: partial 16S ribosomal RNA
Rfam family: Bacterial small subunit ribosomal RNA
Source: RNAcentral
CACGUAGGGCGCAAGCGUUGUCCGGAAUUACUGGGCGUAAAGGGCUCGUAGGCGGCCAACUAAGUCGGAUGUGAAAUCCCCAGGCUUAACCUGGGAACUGCAUCCGAUACUGGAUGGCUUGAAUCCGGGAGAGGGAUGCAGAAUUCCAGGUGUAGCGGUGAAAUGCGUAGAUAUCUGGAGGAAUACCGGUGGCGAAGGCGGCAUCCUGGACCGGCAUUGACGCUGAUGAGCGAAAGCUAGGGGAGCAAACGGG